Long non-coding RNA from Mauremys reevesii (Reeves's turtle), 341 nucleotides. RefSeq lists it as uncharacterized. The record is from RefSeq and is a predicted model, not a curated record. The transcript is spliced from 2 exons. Lineage: Eukaryota; Metazoa; Chordata; Testudines; Geoemydidae.
CUGCCUCACAACAGAAUGUCACAAUACAACAUGAUGUCCUGAUACAUCACAAUGGCUCAGUGUCACCAAGAGAUGUGAGCUCACCCAUUUCUCUUGCAACACCCUGGAAGAAAAGGAGCACAUUUACCUAUCAGACAGAGAAAUGGAGGAGAGCCUGCCGCACGGGAUGGAAUUGCUAAAUGGGCAUCACAAAGUUGGGGUGUUGUGCUCCUUCUCCCUGGGCUGACUUCCCUCCGACGGAUGGGGCGAGGAAGCCAAGGAAGAGGCCGCAGAGCCAUUGAUGUCCAAGUCAGUCGGUGGCUGGAAAGAGAAAGGAGACUUCAUAAAAAAGUUUUCUGCUG